This 492-nucleotide ribosomal RNA is filed under the name uncultured bacterium. RNAcentral's name for it is "partial 16S ribosomal RNA". It matches the Rfam family "Bacterial small subunit ribosomal RNA", at positions 29 to 507 of the family's 1533-position model. The record is from RNAcentral.
AGUGAACGCUGGCGGUAGGCCUAACACAUGCCAGUCGAACGGCAGCACAGUAAGCGCUUGCUCUUACGGGUGGCGAGUGGCGGACGGGUGAGGAAUACAUCGGCAUCUACUUUUUCGUGGGUGAUAACGUAGGGAAACUUACGCUAAUACCGCAUACGACCUACGGGUGAAAGCAGGGGAUCUUCGGACCUUUCGCGAUUGAAUGAGCCGAUGUCGGAUUAGCUAGUUGGCGGGGUAAAGGCCCACCAAGGCGACGAUCCGUAGCUGGUCUGAGAGGAUGAUCAGCCACACUGGAACUGAGACACGGUCCAGACUCCUACGGGAGGCAGCAGUGGGGAAUAUUGGACAAUGGGCGCAAGCCUGAUCCAGCCAUACCGCGUGGGUGAAGAAGGCCUUCGGGUUGUAAAGCCCUUUUGUUGGGAAAGAAAAGCAGCAGGUUAAUACCCCGCUGUUCUGACGGUACCCAAAGAAUAAGCACCGGCUAACUUCGUG